CGUCUCAAAUCAAGCAAGAUUACCCGCUGAACUUAAGCAUAUCAGUAAGCGGAGGAAAAGAAACUAACAAGGAUUCCCUCAGUAACGGCGAGUGAAGCGGGAAUAGCUCAAAUUUGAAAUCUCAAUGGCAACAUUGCGAAUUGUAGUCUAAAGAGAUGGGUAUGAUGGAUGGUAUGGGGAUUGGUCAAGUCCUUUGGAACAAGGCACCAUAGAGGGUGAUAGUCCCGUGGAUCAAUUCGGGUAUUAUUGUAUGCCCACUCCAAGAGUCGAGUUGUUUGGGAAUGCAGCUCAAAGCGGGUGGUAAAUCUCAUCCAAGGCUAAAUAUUGGCAAGAGACCGAUAGCGAACAAGUACCGUGAGGGAAAGAUGAAAAGCACCUUGAAAAGGGAGUUAAAAAGUACGUGAAAUUGUUAAAAGGGAAACGA
RNAcentral lists this ribosomal RNA (424 nucleotides) under uncultured fungus. Its description in RNAcentral is "eukaryotic LSU rRNA". It matches the Rfam family "Eukaryotic large subunit ribosomal RNA", at positions 1 to 422 of the family's 3401-position model. The record is from RNAcentral. Lineage: Eukaryota; Fungi.